UUCUCUUUGCAUUUGUUAGUACGUCGAUCUAUUACUACAUCCAGUAUCUUUGACAUAAGGACUAAGAUAAAUCAGGGUACAGAGGAAAAAAUACGCAUAUACAUGUGAUUUUCUCAACGUCACAUGAGAGACGGCAAUUGAAACCAUAUGAACAAGUAAGGCUCAGAACUGGAAUAGGUAAAAACAAACGUACCACACAAAAUUGUAAUGCACUGAUAGCGAGUUGUUCCUAUAAAAAAUAGGAUGAUAUUCUCAACGCAAAGGUUAACUUGGAAUAUAAUGCAUCCAAUCAGCAAAACUGUAUCAUAUUUGCACUUUGUCAGCAUUCAUUUUUUAUAGUUAAAAUGAAGUACCUCUGGAAGAUCUUAAGUCCAUCUGCUGGCCAUUAGCGUGUUGUUUUGUCCCUAUAAAAAAUAAGAUGAUAUUCUCAAUGCAAAGGUCAACUUGGAAUAUAAUGUAUCGAAUCAGAAAAACGAUAUCAAAUUUGCACUUUGUCAGCAGUCUUCAAGAGGCAACUGUUACAUGGAUGCACUUCACAUAAUUCAAACAAGCUACGGUUUCUACUUGCUAAUACAAAAAAAUUAAAGAAAUUGAAGGUGGGAGGAGAGCAAGUUGAAGAAAUGUUAAUCCUGUGGAUGAAACUGAAUAGUUAGAGAGACCUACCAAGGCAUUCCUGAGUAAAUAACUUUGUUGCUCACAUUCAUAUCAUCUCUAUCCUGAGUAGUCUACAAAAGUGUAGGCUCAGAUGCAGUUAGAAGAAAACGAUUAUAAGUAUUUCCAAACCAGAAAGCCGAUGUAAUAUCUUGUAAGAAAAAUAUAUUAAAACCACGCCCGAUUUAACCUUCAUGAUAUUUUUUAUCAAACUAUCAAAGAUACAACAACAAAUAAGUACUCCCUCCGUUCCAAAAUUAUUGUCGUGGUUUUAGCUCAAGUAGAAAUCAUUAAAACACAAUUGGUAGAUCAAAUUUUUAAAUGGUGAACCAACCACCAAUCAUAUUUGUAUUUUCCCAUUUUUAUGCUCUGUAGCGUACAUAUAUGUU
RNAcentral lists this long non-coding RNA (1040 nucleotides) under Triticum aestivum (bread wheat). RNAcentral describes it as "long non-coding RNA (TAES_LNC007192)". Lineage: Eukaryota; Viridiplantae; Streptophyta; Magnoliopsida; Poales; Poaceae. The record is from RNAcentral.